UAAGGUAAUACUUACUGGAGGUCCGAACCCACGCACGUUGAAAAGUGCGGGGAUGAGGUGUGGGUAGCGGAGAAAUUCCAAUCGAACUUGGAGAUAGCUGGUUCUCUCCGAAAUAGCUUUAGGGCUAGCCUCGAGGUAAAGAGUCAUGGAGGUAGAGCACUGUUUGGACUAGGGGCCCUUCUCGGGUUACCGAAUUCAGAUAAACUCCGAAUGCCAUGUACUUAUACUCGGGAGUCAGACUGCGAGUGAUAAGAUCCGUAGUCGAAAGGGAAACAGCCCAGACCACCAGUUAAGGUCCCCAAAUAUAUGUUAAGUGGAAAAGGAUGUGGGGUUGCUUAGACAACCAGGAUGUUGGCUUAGAAGCAGCCACCAUUGAAAGAGUGCGUAAUAGCUCACUGGUCGAGUGACCCCGCGCCGAAAAUGUACCGGGGCUAAACAUAUUACCGAAACUGUGGAUGAACCUCUUUAGAGGUUCGUGGUAGGAGAGCGUUCUAAGGGCGGUGAAGUCAGACCGGAAGGACUGGUGGAGCGCUUAGAAGUGAGAAUGCCGGUAUGAGUAGCGAAAGAAGGGUGAGAAUCCCUUCCACCGAAUAUCUAAGGUUUCCUGAGGAAGGCUCGUCCGCUCAGGGUUAGUCGGGACCUAAGCCGAGGCCGAUAGGCGUAGGCGAUGGACAACAGGUAGAGAUUCCUGUACCAGUGCUAAUUGUUUAACCGAUG
This 717-nucleotide ribosomal RNA is filed under the name Listeria monocytogenes. Its description in RNAcentral is "partial 23S ribosomal RNA". It matches the Rfam family "Bacterial large subunit ribosomal RNA", at positions 752 to 1466 of the family's 2925-position model. The record is from RNAcentral. Lineage: Bacteria; Bacillati; Bacillota; Bacilli; Caryophanales; Listeriaceae.